UACGAAGGGGGCUAGCGUUGCUCGGAAUUACUGGGCGUAAAGGGAGCGUAGGCGGAUAGUUUAGUCAGAGGUGAAAGCCCAGGGCUCAACCCUGGAAUUGCCUUUGAUACUGGCUAUCUUGAGUAUGGGAGAGGUUAGCGGAACUCCGAGUGUAGAGGUGAAAUUCGUAGAUAUUCGGAAGAACACCAGUGGCGAAGGCGGCUAACUGGCCCAUUACUGACGCUGAGGCGCGAAAGCGUGGGGAGCAAACAGG
RNAcentral lists this ribosomal RNA (253 nucleotides) under uncultured bacterium. RNAcentral describes it as "partial 16S ribosomal RNA". It matches the Rfam family "Bacterial small subunit ribosomal RNA", at positions 524 to 776 of the family's 1533-position model. The record is from RNAcentral.